AUUUAUAUAGUUUAAAAUAAAACAUUACAUUUUCACUGUAAAAUAAAAGAAAAUCUUUUAUAAAUA
RNAcentral lists this transfer RNA (66 nucleotides) under Pseudolimnophila brunneinota. Its description in RNAcentral is "tRNA-Glu". It matches the Rfam family "tRNA". From Rfam's summary of the family: Transfer RNA (tRNA) molecules are approximately 80 nucleotides in length. Their secondary structure includes four short double-helical elements and three loops (D, anti-codon, and T loops). Further hydrogen bonds mediate the characteristic L-shaped molecular structure. tRNAs have two regions of fundamental functional importance: the anti-codon, which is responsible for specific mRNA codon recognition, and the 3' end, to which the tRNAs corresponding amino acid is attached (by aminoacyl-tRNA synthetases). tRNAs cope with the degeneracy of the genetic code in two manners: having more than one tRNA (with a specific anti-codon) for a particular amino acid; and 'wobble' base-pairing, i.e. permitting non-standard base-pairing at the 3rd anti-codon position. The record is from RNAcentral. Lineage: Eukaryota; Metazoa; Arthropoda; Insecta; Diptera; Limoniidae.